This is a long non-coding RNA of Triticum dicoccoides, 1613 nucleotides long. RefSeq lists it as uncharacterized. The transcript has 6 exons. The record is from RefSeq and is a predicted model, not a curated record. Lineage: Eukaryota; Viridiplantae; Streptophyta; Magnoliopsida; Poales; Poaceae.
UCCACACUCCGACCACCUCCCUCCAUGCCACGGCCACCCCCCUCCCCCCCGCUGACCAACCACCUACAAGCCCCGGCGAACUCUCUUCCCCGCCUUCGACCAGCACCGGCCGUCCAGCUUCACACACCGCCUCCACCACCCGCCCACCCGGUACAGCACCUCCCUGGGGCCUGGACCAGAUCCAGGACGACGCACCCCACACCUCAACCAGCAGUGACCGACGCGCCCCCACUCCAGACCGGCGAAGACGCGCCCCCCCCGCCCCACUUCUCCCUCUCGGCAUCGUCCUGUGCCCCACCGCGUCGAUCCCUUGCUGGGUCAGUGCGUCCCGCGACUGCGUGCUUCGAUCCCCAUGGGAUUUGAACCCUUUUCGUCCAACGACGACAGUAAAAGAAGGCAUCGGCUGCUCCGGCCGCCCGUCCGCAGAUUCCAACCGGUGUCGGCGCCCCUGCCCGCGGGCCCUGAUUAUUCUGAAAUUCUGAACUAUGCUCUGUAUUUGCAAAUAGAAAUGUAGCCUUACAUCUAUCAUGUUGCAUAUGAUUAUUCUUGUCAUGUUUUCCUGUUCUUUUCAAUCUUCUGGACCGGCGUGAGUUGUAGUCUAACAAAUUUGGGUGAUGUUGUCUGCAUGUUCACAAAUGAAUUUGGAACCGAAUCCCUUGUCAUUUUCUUUGAUGCUAGUAAUUGUUAUCAGAAUACCUUGAUAUUGACUUGCUGCCUUCCUGAGAGUGAUGGUGAUACCAAUACGUAAUGAGUAGUAUUACCUUGGUGCAUUUGGCCAAGCUCUUCAAUUAUAUAGGUGUUGAAAUGACAAUUAGAGAGACUCAGUUGAAUGUCUGGCGUUGAUGGCUAUUUUUGAACAUGGUGAGGGUUACACAGAGAAGCAGUGGUGAGAAGGAGAGGCAAGAGGACUUGUUGGCUGUUGUGAGAGGGAGAUGGAAGGAACCAGAAGCUGGAGCUGGCAUAGCGACACCAUGUCCGUUCAUCUUCACAAGCAAGUGGAGGGAGGAGAUGGGUGUCGGAGUGCCAGCGGCCAGGAAGCGAAGCAAGAGCAAGAGCCAAGGGGGGCGCGACCACUUAGCGGGGAGGAGCUAGAGCCGGGAAAACAUUGUCGCCAGUGGUCGAGGAAUGGGCCGCAAACCGCGGGGCCUCACUAAAUUAAUUCUGAAAUGAAGUGAAAGCAACGUUUUUGAGGUUUUGUGCACAUGCCCAAGCGAGAAGCUUCAACAUCACUUAUAGGCCCACUGACAAAUUCUCAAACUGAAUGAAGUCAACCUUUUCAGCACAUACUUCUGGGAAUUCAUGCAAACUACAGAGCUGAACAACAAAAUAAUCAUGCUGAAGAAAGCAACUCCACCACUCACUUUUUCUAGAGCAUUAUGGUCAUGGCCAUCAAUGGAGAUAGGGGUGAGAUGGAGCUUUCAUAUGGAUCGAGAUCUGGGAGGACGGAGGUGUGCAUGUGGGGCGUGGAGCAGGGGCGGCGCCAGGCCCAGGCAGCCAGGGCGUCGGCCUGUCGCGUGGUGAAGUUUUCCUUUGUUGACUGUAGCAGAAAUCGCACUGUAGCGUACAGUAACUAUAUGGCUUGCUUGUGUCAUGAAUCGGCCCUAUCUUUGCUA